GACGAACGCUGGCGGCGUGCUUAACACAUGCAAGUCGAACGGAAAGGCCUGCUUUCCCUUGUGGAUUGCGGGUACUCGAGUGGCGAACGGGUGAGUAACACGUGAGUGAUCUGCCCCCAACUUGGGUAUAAGCCUGGGAAACUGGGUCUAAUUCCCGAUAGGACUGCAGGGUGGUGCCUGUGGUGGAAAACGAUUUUCUAGUGGUUGGGGAUGAGCUCGCGGCCUAUCAGCUUGUUGGUGGGGUAAUGGCCUACCAAGGCGGCGACGGGUAGCCGGCCUGGGAGGGUGGACGGCCACAUUGGGACUGAGAUACGGCCCCGACUCCUACGGGCGGCAGCCGUGGGGAAUAUUGCACAAUGGGCGGAAGCCUGAUGCAGCGACGCAGCGUGGGGGAUGACGGCCUUCGGGUUGUAAACUCCUUUCGACCGCGAGGAAGCCACCUGGUUGGAAGGGUGGUGACGGUAGUGGUAGAAGAAGCACCGGCUAACUACGUG
Molecule: ribosomal RNA, 494 nt
Filed under: uncultured bacterium
Lineage: Bacteria
Description: partial 16S ribosomal RNA
Rfam family: Bacterial small subunit ribosomal RNA
Source: RNAcentral